Long non-coding RNA from Salvelinus sp. IW2-2015, 624 nucleotides. RefSeq lists it as uncharacterized. Lineage: Eukaryota; Metazoa; Chordata; Actinopteri; Salmoniformes; Salmonidae. The record is from RefSeq and is a predicted model, not a curated record.
UAGUCUUCUUUUGUCCUUCCAUAUAGAGGGGGAUCAUUGAAUUGUGCACCUUCAUGCCUCCCAGGCCCAGUGCCCCCUCGUGCAGCUGUGCCCACCCCUGCUGCCCGGCCCUGUGUCUGUUCCGGAGGCACUGGCCACUGCCUUGCCCUGCCCCACCCAAACCAACAUGCUCUUCUGUGUUAGAUUCUGCGUGGCUGCAGGGGUACUAUGGGCUCUGCAGGAUUGAGUCACAGUUUGAACCGCAGCAGUAAAAUAAUCCCUGCAGCCUCAAUAAAAAGAUGCUGUACCUAAUUUCCAGACUAAUGCCAGAUGCGAGGAGGUUGCCGAUUGAAGCGAGUGGGGAAUCUGAUCAUGUGGAGGCAGACAGACAGGGUGAGCAGGAGAAUCAUGGGUUGUGGAAAAGUGUUACUGACACAAAUACGACUGGGAGGAAAUCUGACUUGGCGCUAUGGAAACACGCCCCCCUUCCGUCUCCUAGUAAAACUCCCAGAAUACCAGGUGAGGCAACAGAUUAAAACCUGCACAGUCUAAAACCUUGUCGUAAAGCAUAGACCUCCUCAAAGUUGUCCGUGCCCCUUUGGAACACAUUGGCUGAUAUUGAUGAUACAUUUUAUAGCCAUUUGU